Molecule: transfer RNA, 68 nt
Filed under: Modiolus modiolus (northern horsemussel)
Lineage: Eukaryota; Metazoa; Mollusca; Bivalvia; Mytilida; Modiolidae
Description: tRNA-Arg
Source: RNAcentral
GGCCUUUUAGCUUUAAUAGCUUACCGUUUUCGGCUCGGUAGGAAUGAUGUGUUUGAUCAUAAAGGCUU